Lacerta agilis (Sand lizard) is the source of this 142-nucleotide long non-coding RNA. RefSeq lists it as uncharacterized. The transcript is spliced from 3 exons. The record is from RefSeq and is a predicted model, not a curated record. NCBI's taxonomy places the organism in Eukaryota, Metazoa, Chordata, Lepidosauria, Squamata, Lacertidae.
ACACCAGAGAGAGGCGACUGGGUGACACGAGGAUGCUGGCAAGACUUCCUCAUCCAUCUUCUUAUGCUGGUGGAGGGGAAGCAGCAGCUGUGGAACCAGAUCAGGGUCCAGUGUGCUUUGAAGAUGUAGCUGUUUAUUUCAC